RNAcentral lists this ribosomal RNA (495 nucleotides) under uncultured bacterium. Its description in RNAcentral is "partial 16S ribosomal RNA". It matches the Rfam family "Bacterial small subunit ribosomal RNA", at positions 28 to 507 of the family's 1533-position model. The record is from RNAcentral.
GACGAACGCUGGCGGCGUGCCUAAUACAUGCAAGUAGAACGCUGAAGGAGGAGCUUGCUUCUCUGGAUGAGUUGCGAACGGGUGAGUAACGCGUAGGUAACCUGCCUGGUAGCGGGGGAUAACUAUUGGAAACGAUAGCUAAUACCGCAUAAUAGUAGAUGUUGCAUGACAUUUGCUUAAAAGGUGCAAUUUCAUCACUACCAGAUGGACCUGCGUUGUAUUAGCUAGUUGGUGGGGUAACGGCUCACCAAGGCGACGAUACAUAGCCGACCUGAGAGGGUGAUCGGCCACACUGGGACUGAGACACGGCCCAGACUCCUACGGGAGGCAGCAGUAGGGAAUCUUCGGCAAUGGACGGAAGUCUGAACGAGCAACGCCGCGUGAGUGAAGAAGGGUUUCGGAUCGUAAAGAUCUGUUGUAAGAGAAGAACGAGUGUGAGAGUGGAAAGUUCACACUGUGACGGUAUCUAACCAGAAAGGGACGGCUAACUACGUG